CUCAUCGACUUUUGCGCCUCUYGCAGUCAACUCGCAUAGUGCACGACUACCCUGUCGUAUAAUCUAAAAUGAGAUUUGCCCAACUGACACAGUUCCCUGCAGUGCCCCAGUAAGAAGAAAGCUGUGACCUCCACUUCUGACACACAGCUGGAGACAAAUAUAGGAACUGCUUAAUUAAGGGCCUGGCUUGGGCCAUCAGGGUUCACGGUCUGCUUAGACAAUAUUGAUUUUCCAGCAGAGAGGUGAGAAGAACUCUCACAACUGGAAAAAAAAUAGAAAUGUCUUUUCUUCAAAUGUCUGCAAGAGCUGAGUGCAAAGAGGGUUCUCCUGAAUCAACAUUGGAAUGAAAGGACAUAUCAAGUGAUAAAACAAAUCAGGAUCUUGGAGAGAGCUGGCAUGAUGAUAUUUUGUGUAAGAAAUGAGAUGCAGCCAACGGCACCUCGACGCAUCAAAGCAGAGGGAUCCGGGACUGCUGUGGCUAUGGGACUCCAGACGGACU
This is a long non-coding RNA of Nothoprocta perdicaria, 499 nucleotides long. RefSeq lists it as uncharacterized. The transcript is spliced from 3 exons. The record is from RefSeq and is a predicted model, not a curated record. Lineage: Eukaryota; Metazoa; Chordata; Aves; Tinamiformes; Tinamidae.